AUAUGUUGUGAAUGGUUUGCCCUAUAUAUAGUGUUACCUGCUGUGUCCAUUGUUGAAUCUAUUAUCGCCCUAUUUCGCUUUAUCUGCUUUUUAGUGUCCAGGACACAGAUGAAGAGGAUGUUAGUAUGCGUUGUCGAGAGGAACUGCCCUACAGUGACUGGCCAUAGUGAAUAGUGGAACUCCACAGGUGUGAGUCUGAUGUAUGCAAGAGAAAGUAUUUUCUAGGCAGUCCUGAGUGAACUGGCUUGUUAGAAUAUAUUUGUGCCCCUGUCUCAACAGAACUUGCUGGACCACCAGUAUCGUUGUUGUGGCCACUCCCUGAUGCAUUCUGAAGCCUGAUGUAUGUGGAGGAUUUCUUUUUAUGUAUUAAUCACUUAUAAUAUUCCUCCCUGUUCCUUCACUUUGUUCUUGUUUUUCCAGUUAGAUACACACACACACACACACACAUCUUGUUGUCUCACUCAGUAUUUUUUAUUAAACAAUAUUUGAUUCAUUUA
Long non-coding RNA from Alosa alosa (allis shad), 497 nucleotides. RefSeq lists it as uncharacterized. The transcript has 2 exons. The record is from RefSeq and is a predicted model, not a curated record. Lineage: Eukaryota; Metazoa; Chordata; Actinopteri; Clupeiformes; Clupeidae.